AUGAACUUGGAAAAGCCUGAUUUCAUCAAUGUUUGUCAGUGCUUAAUUUUCUUAGAUGAUCCUCAGGCUGUGAGUGAUAUUUUAGAAAAACUGGUAAAGGAGGACAACCUGCUGAUGGCCUAUCAGAUUUGUUUUGAUUUGUACGAAAGUGCUAGCCAGCAGUUUUUGUCAUCUGUCAUCCAGAAUCUUUGAACUGUUGGUACCCCUAUUGCUUCUGUGCCUGGAUCUACCAAUACAGGGACUGUGCCAGGAUCAGAGAAAGACAGUGACCCCAUGGAGACGGAGGAGAAGACAGCCAGUGCAGUGGCCGGGAAGACACCAGAUGCGAGUCCAGAGCCCAAGGACCAGACAUUGAAAAUGAUUAAGAUUUUAAGUGGUGAAAUGGCUAUUGAAUUACACCUGCAGUUCCUAAUACGAAAUAAUAACACAGACCUCAUGAUUCUAAAAAACACAAAGGAUGCAGUACGAAAUUCUGUAUGUCAUACAGCAACUGUAAUAGCAAACUCAUUCAUGCACUGUGGUACUACCAGUGACCAGUUUCUUAGAGAUAACUUGGAAUGGUUGGCCAGAGCCACCAACUGGGCCAAAUUUACUGCAACUGCCAGCUUGGGUGUAAUCCAUAAGGGCCAUGAGAAGGAAGCACUACAGUUAAUGGCAACAUACCUUCCUAAGGACACUUCUCCAGGAUCAGCCUAUCAGGUAGGGGGCAGUCUCUAUGCAUUGGGUCUCAUUCAUGCCAAUCAUGGUGGUGACAUAAUUGACUAUCUCCUUAAUCAGCUCAAGAAUGCCAGCAAUGAUAUUGUUCGACAUGGAGGCAGCCUGGGCCUUGGUUUGGCUGCAAUGGGAACUGCACGUCAGGAUGUGUAUGAUUUGCUGAAAACAAACCUGUAUCAGGAUGAUGCUGUGACAGGGGAGGCAGCUGGCCUAGCCUUAGGUUUGGUUAUGUUAGGUUCUAAAAAUGCCCAAGCGAUUGAGGAUAUGGUUGGCUAUGCACAAGAGACUCAGCACGAGAAGAUUCUGCGCGGUCUGGCAGUUGGCAUUGCAUUAGUGAUGUACGGGAGGAUGGAGGAGGCUGAUGCUCUCAUUGAGUCUCUCUGUCGUGACAAGGACCCAAUUCUUAGAAGAUCUGGAAUGUAUACUGUAGCCAUGGCUUAUUGUGGCUCUGGUAACAACAAAGCCAUUCGGCGCCUGCUGCAUGUUGCUGUAAGUGAUGUCAACGAUGAUGUCAGAAGAGCAGCAGUGGAGUCACUUGGCUUCAUUUUGUUCAGGACGCCUGAACAGUGUCCAAGUGUGGUUUCUUUGUUGUCAGAGAGUUAUAACCCUCACGUGCGCUAUGGAGCUGCAAUGGCCCUGGGAAUCUGCUGUGCUGGUACAGGAAACAAGGAAGCAAUUAAUUUACUAGAGCCAAUGACCAACGACCCUGUGAACUACGUGAGGCAAGGGGCUCUGAUAGCUUCAGCUCUCAUCAUGAUCCAACAGACUGAGAUCACGUGUCCAAAGGUGAAUCAGUUCCGGCAGCUGUAUUCCAAAGUCAUCAAUGACAAACAUGAUGAUGUCAUGGCCAAAUUUGGCGCUAUUCUGGCCCAAGGCAUACUGGAUGCAGGUGGUCAUAAUGUCACAAUCUCCUUACAGUCCAGGACUGGGCACACUCAUAUGCCAUCUGUGGUUGGCGUCCUUGUCUUCACCCAGUUCUGGUUCUGGUUUCCCCUUUCACACUUCCUGUCAUUGGCUUAUACUCCUACCUGCGUCAUUGGCCUUAACAAGGAUUUAAAGAUGCCGAAAGUUCAAUAUAAAUCAAAUUGUAAACCAUCCACAUUCGCAUAUCCUGCCCCUCUGGAAGUACCAAAAGAAAAAGAAAAGGAAAAGGUUUCCACCGCUGUGUUGUCUAUUACUGCCAAAGCUAAAAAAAAAGAAAAAGAAAAAGAAAAAAAGGAGGAGGAGAAGAUGGAAGUGGAUGAAGCAGAGAAGAAGGAAGAGAAAGAGAAGAAAAAAGAACCUGAACCAAACUUCCAGCUGUUGGAUAAUCCAGCACGAGUUAUGCCUGCCCAGCUGAAGGUCUUAAGUAUGACAGAGACCUGCAGAUACCAGCCUUUUAAACCACUCUCCAUUGAGGGCAUCAUAAUUCUGAAAGACACCAGCGAAGACAUUGAAGAACUCGUGGAACCCGUGGCAGCACACGGCCCAAAAAUUGAAGAGGAAGAGCAAGAGCCAGAGCCCCCAGAGCCGUUCGAGUAUAUCGAUGACUAAGGCCAGGGAUCCCGCCUGCCCAGCUGUAGAUGACUGUCCUGGCGCACACUGAAAUGUCGUGAGGGAACCCAUGCUGAGACCUGCUCAAUGCACACGGCAUUGCCUACGCUGACAUAAAGAACCUGUGUCCCAAGUCUUUGGUUAAGAAGAUAUACGACUGUUCAGUGUUCUCUUUCACAAAAUUUGGUUUUCAAAUAAAUAUAUUAAAAUCUCCACAUUGAAAAAAAAA
This is a non-coding RNA of Mus caroli (Ryukyu mouse), 2476 nucleotides long. The record is from RefSeq and is a predicted model, not a curated record. Lineage: Eukaryota; Metazoa; Chordata; Mammalia; Rodentia; Muridae.